Non-coding RNA from Poecilia reticulata (guppy), 484 nucleotides. The record is from RefSeq and is a predicted model, not a curated record. NCBI's taxonomy places the organism in Eukaryota, Metazoa, Chordata, Actinopteri, Cyprinodontiformes, Poeciliidae.
ACAGUCCUCUAAGGGCGUUGACGUCAUAGCGAGCUAUGAUGACGGCCGGUGCAUUAGCAUACAAGCGGCUCCCUCUGUGCACUCAGCCGCGGCGCGCUGCGGGGAGGCGGGUGAGGGCGGAGGAGAGGAUUCUCCCGUGAUGACGCAGAAACCCUGCAAUUUCUAUUUUUAAACCUAUUCAAGUGUGCAACACCCUUUCGGUACAGCAGCCUUCAACUGCGCCUUCAGACCAAAACAAACAAGAGAGCGAGAGGGAGGAAAAGAGGGGGGCGGGAUGGAAUGGCAACAACCAAAAAUCACUUCUCUGUCUAAUCCUUCCUACAAGCUUCUCUCCUCCCCGUGAGGCCCACGGGAAUUCAUUUGCCACGCCAGGGAUUUGGAGCAAUUUAUUUGCUACAGCAAUCUGAGUUUUCUACUCAGAAUCUCCUGCUCCUUCUGAAACGCCACCUUCAAGAAGACAUCACAACAUGGCUCCUCUAUUAAC